UCUUAUAAUUGUUUGAUUUGUUGUAGACGUUCGAUAUACGCUCGUAAUUGUUGUGUUUUCUUAUAAGAUUUCUGAAGAAAACAAUGUAACGUGAAAUUAUCUUGAAGAAAUAAUGAUAAAUCAUUUUCAUAGUUACAUUUUCGUUACUUUUUAAAAUAAAUGAAAAUAGCGCAUUUGUGCUUUUAUGUGUAUUACAUACUUAAACUUGAAUUUUUUAAUGUAUAUAAAAAAUGAAAGCAUUUUGCCAUAUCAAAAAAUGCGAUUAGAUCGUGAAGAUACAUUCAACAAAUAUAAAUUUAAUGUUUUUAUAUAAUAUUGAUGGUAAUUUCAACAAUAAAAUUUUCGUUGAUAUAUGGGACACCGAGCAGUUGAAGUUGGACCAAGUUCAUAUGUAUAUAUUGUAUUUAUUAGAAUGUAAGUUCGUUUGUCACAAUAAGAUGAAAAAUCGUGUCGGAAGAUUUGCUAAGUACAAAAUGAAACGCUGUCUAGAAAAUUUUUACAAUCGACGAGGGAGAUUUUUUAUUUGAGGGGCAUUUUCUAGAAAAAUUUGUUUUGUUAUAGACUUUCAUUGAAUACUAUCUUUUGCCACACGAUGAUGUCUCUGUAAAGAAUGACAUAUCUGACAUAAUUAUAUAAUU
RNAcentral lists this unclassified non-coding RNA (638 nucleotides) under Bombus terrestris (buff-tailed bumblebee). Its description in RNAcentral is "misc RNA ENSBTSG00005025882.1". The record is from RNAcentral. Lineage: Eukaryota; Metazoa; Arthropoda; Insecta; Hymenoptera; Apidae.